RNAcentral lists this ribosomal RNA (1367 nucleotides) under Mycobacterium sp. py146. RNAcentral's name for it is "bacterial SSU rRNA". It matches the Rfam family "Bacterial small subunit ribosomal RNA". Lineage: Bacteria; Bacillati; Actinomycetota; Actinomycetes; Mycobacteriales; Mycobacteriaceae. The record is from RNAcentral.
AGAGUUUGAUCCUGGCUCAGGACGAACGCUGGCGGCGUGCUUAACACAUGCAAGUCGAACGGAAAGGCCCUUCGGGGUACUCGAGUGGCGAACGGGUGAGUAACACGUGGGUGAUCUGCCCUGCACUUUGGGAUAAGCCUGGGAAACUGGGUCUAAUACCGAAUACACCCUUCUGGCUGCAUGGUCUGGGAGGGGAAAGCUUUUGCGGUGUGGGAUGGGCCCGCGGCCUAUCAGCUUGUUGGUGAGGUUACGGCUCACCAAGGCGACGACGGGUAGCCGGCCUGAGAGGGUGACCGGCCACACUGGGACUGAGAUACGGCCCAGACUCCUACGGGAGGCAGCAGUGGGGAAUAUUGCACAAUGGGCGCAAGCCUGAUGCAGCGACGCCGCGUGAGGGAUGACGGCCUUCGGGUUGUAAACCUCUUUCGCCAGGGACGAAGCGCAAGUGACGGUACCUGGAGAAGAAGGACCGGCCAACUACGUGCCAGCAGCCGCGGUAAUACGUAGGGUCCGAGCGUUGUCCGGAAUUACUGGGGCGUAAAGAGCUCGUAGGUGGUUUGUCGCGUUGUUCGUGAAAACUCACAGCUCAACUGUGGGCGUGCGGGCGAUACGGCAGACUGGAGUACUGCAGGGGAGACUGGAUUCUGGUGUAGCGUGAUGCGCAGAUAUCAGGAGAACACCGUGCGAAGCGGGUCUCUGGGCAGUAACUGACGCUGAGGAGCGAAAGCGUGGGGAGCGAACAGGAUUAGAUACCCUGGUAGUCCACGCCGUAAACGGUGGGUACUAGGUGUGGGUUUCCUUCCUUGGGAUCCGUGCCGUAGCUAACGCAUUAAGUACCCCGCCUGGGGAGUACGGCCGCAAGGCUAAAACUCAAAGAAAUUGACGGGGGCCCGCACAAGCGGCGGAGCAUGUGGAUUAAUUCGAUGCAACGCGAAGAACCUUACCUGGGUUUGACAUGCACAGGACGUGCCUAGAGAUAGGUAUUCCCUUGUGGCCUGUGUGCAGGUGGUGCAUGGCUGUCGUCAGCUCGUGUCGUGAGAUGUUGGGUUAAGUCCCGCAACGAGCGCAACCCUUAUCUUAUGUUGCCAGCGCGUAAUGGCGGGGACUCGUGAGAGACUGCCGGGGUCAACUCGGAGGAAGGUGGGGAUGACGUCAAGUCAUCAUGCCCCUUAUGUCCAGGGCUUCACACAUGCUACAAUGGCCGGUACAAAGGGCUGCGAUGCCGUGAGGUGGAGCGAAUCCUUUCAAAGCCGGUCUCAGUUCGGAUCGGGGUCUGCAACUCGACCCCGUGAAGUCGGAGUCGCUAGUAAUCGCAGAUCAGCAACGCUGCGGUGAAUACGUUCCCGGGCCUUGUACACACCGCCCGU